Molecule: ribosomal RNA, 495 nt
Filed under: uncultured bacterium
Lineage: Bacteria
Description: partial 16S ribosomal RNA
Rfam family: Bacterial small subunit ribosomal RNA
Source: RNAcentral
GACGAACGCUGGCGGCGUGCCUAAUACAUGCAAGUCGAACGCUGAAGGAGGAGCUUGCUUCUCCGGAUGAGUUGCGCACGGGUGAGUAACGCGUAGGUAACCUGCCUGGUAGCGGGGGAUAACUCUUGGAAACGAUAGAUAAUACCGCAUAAGAGUAGAUGUUGCAUGACAUUUGCUUAAAAGGUGCAAUUGCACCACUACCAGAUGGACCUGCGUUGUAUUAGCUAGUUGGUGGGGUAACGGCUUACCACGGCGACGAUACAUAGCCGGCCUGCGAGGGGGGUCCGCCACACUGGGACUGAGACACGGCCCAGACUCCUACGGGGGGCAACAGGAGGGGAUCUUCGGCAAUGGACGGAAGUCUGACCGAGCAACGCCGCGUGGGGGAAGAAGGGUUUCGGGUCGUAAAGCUCUGUUGUAAGGGAAGAAAGAGUGUGAGAGGGGAAAGUGCACACUGUGACGGUACCUUACCAGAAAGGGACGGCUAACUACGUG